RNAcentral lists this ribosomal RNA (497 nucleotides) under uncultured bacterium. Its description in RNAcentral is "bacterial SSU rRNA". It matches the Rfam family "Bacterial small subunit ribosomal RNA", at positions 355 to 853 of the family's 1533-position model. The record is from RNAcentral.
UGAGGAAUAUUGGACAAUGGGCGAGAGCCUGAUCCAGCCAUGCCGCGUGCAGGAAGACUGCCCUAUGGGUUGUAAACUGCUUUUAUACAGGAAGAACCAUCCCGACGUGUCGGGAUCUGACGGUACUGUAAGAAUAAGGACCGGCUAACUCCGUGCCAGCAGCCGCGGUAAUACGGAGGGUCCAAGCGUUAUCCGGAAUCAUUGGGUUUAAAGGGUCCGCAGGCGGUCAAUUAAGUCAGAGGUGAAAUCCCAUAGCUUAACUAUGGAACUGCCUUUGAUACUGGUUGACUUGAGUCAUAUGGAAGUAGAUAGAAUGUGUAGUGUAGCGGUGAAAUGCAUAGAUAUUACACAGAAUACCGAUUGCGAAGGCAGUSUACUACGUAUUGACUGACGCUCAUGGACGAAAGCGUGGGGAGCGAACAGGAUUAGAUACCCUGGUAGUCCACGCCGUAAACGAUGGACACUAGUUGUUGGGCAUUAGCUCAGUGGACUAAAGC